This 1284-nucleotide long non-coding RNA is filed under the name Nicotiana benthamiana. Its description in RNAcentral is "long non-coding RNA (NBEN_LNC017560)". Lineage: Eukaryota; Viridiplantae; Streptophyta; Magnoliopsida; Solanales; Solanaceae. The record is from RNAcentral.
AGUGCAUGAUAUAAGAUUAUUGACUGUCUCAACUGAUUCCACUGUAAGCUUGGCUGUAGGGAGGCUAUUCACCAAUAUCUGGAAAGCUACCGUCAAUAGUGACCCGCUAAUUCUUUGAUCUGGGCCCCCAUUAGAUGAUGGCCCAUUGGACCCAAAAUUUGCAGUAGUCGACCCACGAGAUCCUGGGCCGUCGGGUACGAUCGAGAAUCCCGAAGGGAGCAAAGCCACGUACGCAGAAUCACCACCAUUCAUCACCACAUGCAUUGCCGGGAUAUCAACUGGCGCGUAAACAACCAGCGCUCCUGCCGCGUCUAUGCACGUCUCCUGAAGUAUCAACAUGCUACUCUGAUUCGCGUUAAUAGCCUGUUAAACAAACCCUUAGUUAUGAAUACAUUUACGAAGAAUGCCAUUCUGCGGUAUAAUACGUCAAUUUCUGUUACAGUGUUAAAAAACCGAGUCAACUAGGGAUUAGGACUUUUCAUGUAAAAGGUGAUAUCAUGUGGUAGGGCUGACUUAAAAAAGGUAACAAGUGUCAUGUGUUUUGACUUUUUACGAAUUUACAAAAGAAACAACAAAGUUAAAAACUACAGAUCUGCAAUCAAAUGUCGUUUAGAGAUACUUCCAAAUUCCCUUAUUUGUCCUUUUCAAUUCACCUUUUUAUAUCUUAAGAAAAUGAACCCCACCCAUGCAAAUCAAUCAAUUUCUCUCAUUCAAUUAAUCAUGACCUUCUACAUGCAUUCAUCUAUUAACGCCAUGCAUUAUUAUCCUCACACCCUAUUUUUCAAUCCAUUCAAAAUUAAUAUCUUCAGUAUUAAUUUUUUUUUCUUUAAAAUGAAAAGGGUUAAAGAAAUUACACUAGCACGGAGGAGGGAGACGCAGUUGCCAUGAUCUUGGCCUUUGGCAAUAUGAGCCAUUUCUUGCAUAGGACCACCAUUGGAUAGGAUAUCCCAUUCACUCCGGAGACGUUCAUCACGGAGGAAAUCGAAGAGUCUUUGUGGGGAAACCGGCAACCAAACGGAAGUAGCAGCACUUAAAACAAUGCCCGGUGGCUCCCCCGGGUCAUCGACACUCUUUCGGGUCAUAACACGGACAUCUUCAUCCACAUUACCUGCACACAGUUUGUUCCACUUGUGUACCGUAGAAGCACAAACGCCAGCACAGAAGUUAGUGACCCGCUAAUUCUUUGAUCUGGGCUCCCAUUACAUGAUGGCCCAUUGGACGCACAAUUGGCAGUAUUAGACCCACGAGAUCCUGGGCCGUCGGGUACAAUCGAGAAUCCCGAAG